This 148-nucleotide non-coding RNA is filed under the name Homo sapiens (human). Lineage: Eukaryota; Metazoa; Chordata; Mammalia; Primates; Hominidae. The record is from Rfam by way of RNAcentral.
GCUGGGUGUGGUGGUGCACACCUGUAAUCCCUGCUACUCAGGAGGCUGAGGCAGGAGAAUCACUUGAACCCAGGAGGUGGAGGCUGCAGUGAGCCAAGAUCACACCACUGCACUCUAGCCUGGGUGACAAAGCAAAACUCUGUCUCAA